This 484-nucleotide ribosomal RNA is filed under the name uncultured bacterium. RNAcentral's name for it is "partial 16S ribosomal RNA". It matches the Rfam family "Bacterial small subunit ribosomal RNA", at positions 30 to 507 of the family's 1533-position model. The record is from RNAcentral.
AUUGAACGCUGGCGGCAGGCCUAACACAUGCAAGUCGAGCGGAUGAAGGGAGCUUGCUCCUGGAUUCAGCGGCGGACGGGUGAGUAAUGCCUAGGAAUCUGCCUGGUAGUGGGGGAUAACGUCCGGAAACGGGCGCUAAUACCGCAUACGUCCUGAGGGAGAAAGUGGGGGAUCUUUGGACCUCACGCUAUCAGAUGAGCCUAGGUCGGAUUAGCUAGUUGGUGGGGUAAAGGCCUACCAAGGCGACGAUCCGUAACUGGUCUGAGAGGAUGAUCAGUCACACUGGAACUGAGACACGGUCCAGACUCCCACGGGAGGCAGCAGUGGGGAAUAUUGGACAAUGGGCGAAAGCCUGAUCCAGCCAUGCCGCGUGUGUGAAGAAGGUCUUCGGAUUGUAAAGCACUUUAAGUUGGGAGGAAGGGCAGUAAGUUAAUACCUUGCUGUUUUGACGUUACCAACAGAAUAAGCACCGGCUAACUUCGUG